CACCGCUCAAGCCCCCGGGCUUGGUGUUGGGGCAUCGCGGGCUGCGCAAGCGGCCGGCGGCCCUCAAAUGCAGUGGCGGUCCCUCCGUGGGCUUCUCCCUAACGCAGUAGAGCAUUCGGCUGUCGUUUCGGAGCCCGGAGGCGGUCUGCCGUAAAACCCCCCCGACGGCGGCAGCUUCGGCUGUCACCAUCCUCAUGG
RNAcentral lists this unclassified non-coding RNA (198 nucleotides) under uncultured Sordariales. RNAcentral describes it as "sequence contains ITS2". Lineage: Eukaryota; Fungi; Ascomycota; Sordariomycetes; Sordariales. The record is from RNAcentral.